This is a long non-coding RNA of Gasterosteus aculeatus aculeatus (three-spined stickleback), 473 nucleotides long. The record is from Ensembl. Lineage: Eukaryota; Metazoa; Chordata; Actinopteri; Perciformes; Gasterosteidae.
CUCGGACCGACGUGAGACGCUGCUGGCUAAAGAGAAUAUGGACACAAUUGAUGGGAAGUUUACAGUUCAAAGUCUGUGGCUAUAAAAAGGAGAACGGAAAACAAACAGGGAGGGAAGUCCACUGAGGCUCCCAACAUGCAUUUCAGGUUUAGAGAUGUCUAUCUCCACUUCUGCACAAUGCAGAAGAAAGAGUCCCCAAGGACCAAGGAGACGGGGAAACCUGCUUGCAUUUCAUUUUCCGUGAAACGAGAGAGAGAGAGAGAGAGAGCGACAGCGAUUCGUGAUGGAAGCAGCCGACCACAUGCGUGUUGGUGCUCAGACGGGCUGAUGUCAGCACUGAGCCUCGAUAAAGAUUUGGGACGGACGGCCUUUUGUUUCUGCAAAAGAAAAACUGCCGGCUGGAGCCGUGAAUGGCAGCACUAAUCCUGCCUCUCGCACUCUGAGCCCACGUGCACGAGGCGAGAGGGGGGGGG